CAAGUGCUUGCUCCGUUCGAAAAUACUUAUCAUCAAAAUGGAUAAAAGAAAGUGUAUUUAGAACUAAAAUAUGUUUAGAUACAUCUUCUUUUAUCAAUUUUGAUGACAAGUAUUUCCGGACGGAGGGAGUAGCAA
This is a non-coding RNA of Triticum aestivum (bread wheat), 135 nucleotides long. The record is from Rfam. NCBI's taxonomy places the organism in Eukaryota, Viridiplantae, Streptophyta, Magnoliopsida, Poales, Poaceae.